RNAcentral lists this unclassified non-coding RNA (343 nucleotides) under soil metagenome. RNAcentral describes it as "partial contains 5.8S ribosomal RNA, internal transcribed spacer 2, and large subunit ribosomal RNA". The stretch from base 1 to 120 matches the Rfam family "5.8S ribosomal RNA", at positions 35 to 154 of the family's 154-position model. The record is from RNAcentral.
GAUGAAGAACGUAGUGAAAUGCGAUAAGUAAUGUGAAUUGCAGAAUUCAGUGAAUCAUCGAAUCUUUGAACGCACAUUGCGCCCGCCAGCAUUCUGGCGGGCAUGCCUGUUUGAGCGUCAUUUCAACCCUCGAGCCCCCCCGGGGGCCUCGGUGUUGGGGGACGGCACACCAGCCGCCCCCGAAAUGCAGUGGCGACCCCGCCGCAGCCUCCCCUGCGUAGUAGCACACACCUCGCACCGGAGCGCGGAGGCGGUCACGCCGUAAAACGCCCAACUUUCUUAGAGUUGACCUCGGAUCAGGUAGGAAUACCCGCUGAACUUAAGCAUAUCAAUAAGCGGAGGA